RNAcentral lists this ribosomal RNA (1203 nucleotides) under Metarhizium anisopliae. Its description in RNAcentral is "eukaryotic LSU rRNA". The stretch from base 1 to 383 matches the Rfam family "Eukaryotic small subunit ribosomal RNA", at positions 1452 to 1831 of the family's 1831-position model. Lineage: Eukaryota; Fungi; Ascomycota; Sordariomycetes; Hypocreales; Clavicipitaceae. The record is from RNAcentral.
UAUAACAGGGUCUGUGAUUGCCCUUAGAUGUUCUGGGCCCGCACGCGCGCUACACUGACGGAGCCAGCGAGUAAUUCCUUGGCCGGAAGGCCCGGGUAAUCUUGUUAAACUCCGUCGUGCUGGGGAUAGAGCAUUGCAAUUAUUGCUCUUCAACGAGGAAUCCCUAGUAAGCGCAAGUCAUCAGCUUGCGUUGAUUACGUCCCUGCCCUUUGUACACACCGCCCGUCGCUACUACCGAUUGAAUGGCUCAGUGAGGCGUCCGGACUGGCCCAGGGAGGUGGGCAACUACCACCCAGGGCCGGAAAGCUCUCCAAACUCGGUCAUUUAGAGGAAGUAAAAGUCGUAACAAGGUCUCCGUUGGUGAACCAGCGGAGGGAUCAUUACCGAGUUAUCCAACUCCCAACCCCUGUGAAUUAUACCUUUAAUUGUUGCUUCGGCGGGACUUCGCGCCCGCCGGGGACCCAAACCUUCUGAAUUUUUUAAUAAGUAUCUUCUGAGUGGUUAAAAAAAAUGAAUCAAAACUUUCAACAACGGAUCUCUUGGUUCUGGCAUCGAUGAAGAACGCAGCGAAAUGCGAUAAGUAAUGUGAAUUGCAGAAUUCAGUGAAUCAUCGAAUCUUUGAACGCACAUUGCGCCCGUCAGUAUUCUGGCGGGCAUGCCUGUUCGAGCGUCAUUACGCCCCUCAAGUCCCCUGUGGACUUGGUGUUGGGGAUCGGCGAGGCUGGUUUUCCAGCACAGCCGUCCCUCAAAUCAAUUGGCGGUCUCGCCGUGGCCCUCCUCUGCGCAGUAGUAAAACACUCGCAACAGGAGCCCGGCGCGGUCCACUGCCGUAAAACCCCCCAACUUUUUAUAGUUGACCCUCGAAUCAGGUAGGACUACCCGCUGAACUUAAGCAUAUCAAUAAGCGGAGGAAAAGAAACCAACAGGGAUUGCCCCAGUAACGGCGAGUGAAGCGGCAACAGCUCAAAUUUGAAAUCUGGUCCCCAGGGCCCGAGUUGUAAUUUGCAGAGGAUGCUUUUGGUGAGGUGCCUUCCGAGUUCCCUGGAACGGGACGCCAUAGAAGGGUGAGAGCCCCGUCUGGUUGGAUACCGAGCCUCUGUAAAGCUCCUUCGACGAGUCGAGUAGUUUGGGAAUGCUGCUCUAAAUGGGAGGUAUAUGUCUUCUAAAGCUAAAUAUUGGGCCAGAGACGUUUAGGCGGCCCAA